Molecule: long non-coding RNA, 1028 nt
Filed under: Physcomitrium patens
Lineage: Eukaryota; Viridiplantae; Streptophyta; Bryopsida; Funariales; Funariaceae
Description: long non-coding RNA (PPAT_LNC002473)
Source: RNAcentral
AGUCAAAUGGAAAAUAUUAAUUACAAUAGCUAUUUGGUAGAGCCAAUAGCUUGCUUUGUGUCCCCUACUAAAAUGAUAAUGCUAAAAGGACAAGGCUCUAAGUUUGAAGCAAUGAGACCUAAUUUUUGACCAAGCUACUUACUAGUCAUAAUUGAUUGAACACUAAAAUCUAUUAUAAUAUAUGAAAAUAUAAUACAAAUUAUAUUACCACCAAUAUGAGUAAAAAUAAUCAUUUUAUUAUUAUUAAUUGGCCUUAUAAAUCUUAAAUACAAGUUUUGACUUAAAUGCUCCAUAUAAUCUUUACUUCACAAAUGCAAAAUGUCAAUGGCUUCUUUGAACUACUUCUACAUAAAAAUGACUCAAAAAUGGUUAAAUUUGGACUCCACAUGCUCUUGAAGUGAACUUCCAAACAUAACACUUAAAUUUUUUGGAAAAAUGUGGUUUAAAAAAAAAUUAAAAAUUAAAGAAAAAAAAAAAAAAAAAAAAAAAAAAAGUAAUUGCAUGUUGUUGCAAGGUCUAAUCACCGUGGGGGCCCUGUCACUGGAAGUUCCUGUAUUUGCAUGACCCUGUUACCAUGCUAGGCUUAUAUCGGCACGCUUGUCCUUAUCACCGAGUGACGCAAGGUGUUGCAAAUUCCCGUUGCUUACCACCGGAAGUCGCUGACUGCAGCAGCAAGUGGCAAACUCUCUGUGCUCCCCCGCUCCACUUUGACAACAAAGAAUUCAGUGAGUGGCCGGAGCAAUGGCGAUGCAGACAAGAUCGGCGAUGCGUAAGGACACAAGAGCGCAAGACUGAUGAAACCUUUCACAGCAACGGCUCUACUUUUCCCGCAACCUAGCACUGAAAACCAAAAAACAAAAAAUAACUAAAUAUCCAAUCAACAGCAAGGCCGCUCCAGAAAACCACUGCACCGCAAACAGCUCUCUUCUGUCGCACCAAAACCCUGAGCCAUAGUCCCGGCGCCUCGACUCUGACCUUGAGCUCCGCCUCCGCGCUUGCCUUACUGCGUCGCACCUGACCAGAUCCCC